UACGUAGGCAGCGAGCGUUGUUCGGAGUUACUGGGCGUAAAGAGUGCGUAGGCGGUUUUCUAAGUUUGGUGUGAAAUCUCCCGGCUUAACUGGGAGGGUGCGCCGAAAACUGGAAGGCUUGAGUAUGGGAGAGGUAAGCGGAAUUCCUGGUGUAGCGGUGAAAUGCGUAGAUAUCAGGAGGAACACCUGCGGUGUAGACGGCUUACUGGACCAUAACUGACGCUGAGGCACGAAAGCGUGGGUAGCAAACCGG
Molecule: ribosomal RNA, 253 nt
Filed under: uncultured bacterium
Lineage: Bacteria
Description: partial 16S ribosomal RNA
Rfam family: Bacterial small subunit ribosomal RNA
Source: RNAcentral